UGAGGAAUAUUGGUCAAUGGGCGGGAGCCUGAACCAGCCAAGUCGCGUGAAGGAAGAAGGAUCUAUGGUUCGUAAACUUCUUUUGCAGGGGAAUAAAGUGCAGGACGUGUCCUGUUUUGUAUGUACCCUGAGAAUAAGGAUCGGCUAACUCCGUGCCAGCAGCCGCGGUAAUACGGAGGAUCCGAGCGUUAUCCGGAUUUAUUGGGUUUAAAGGGUGCGUAGGUGGUUUGAUAAGUCAGCGGUGAAAGUUUGCAGCUUAACUGUAAAAAUGCCGUUGNAACUGUCGGACUUGAGUGUAAAUGAGGUAGGCGGAAUGCGUGGUGUAGCGGUGAAAUGCAUAGAUAUCACGCAGAACUCCGAUUGCGAAGGCAGCUUACUAAGCUACAACUGACACUGAAGCACGAAAGCGUGGGGAUCAAACA
RNAcentral lists this ribosomal RNA (422 nucleotides) under uncultured bacterium. RNAcentral's name for it is "bacterial SSU rRNA". It matches the Rfam family "Bacterial small subunit ribosomal RNA", at positions 355 to 774 of the family's 1533-position model. The record is from RNAcentral.